GGGGGGAAUGCAGGAUCCUGGGCUGUCCCUCGGAGUCCUGGGCUCUGGGGCCUGCGCCACUGGAAUUGCGUUCCUGAUGCCGCGCAGCACCCU
This 93-nucleotide microRNA precursor is filed under the name Canis lupus familiaris (dog). RNAcentral describes it as "mir-8799 microRNA precursor family". It matches the Rfam family "mir-8799 microRNA precursor family". The record is from Rfam by way of RNAcentral. RNAcentral also lists the same sequence under 1 other name. Lineage: Eukaryota; Metazoa; Chordata; Mammalia; Carnivora; Canidae.